This 427-nucleotide ribosomal RNA is filed under the name uncultured bacterium. RNAcentral describes it as "bacterial SSU rRNA". It matches the Rfam family "Bacterial small subunit ribosomal RNA", at positions 355 to 773 of the family's 1533-position model. The record is from RNAcentral.
UGGGGAAUUGUUCGCAAUGGGCGCAAGCCUGACGACGCAACGCCGCGUGGAGGACGAAGAUCUUCGGGUCGUAAACUCCUGUCGAGUGGGAAGAAUGCUUCGGGGGUGAAUAACCUCCGGAAUUGACGGUACCACUAAAGGAAGCCCCGGCUAACUCCGUGCCAGCAGCCGCGGUAAUACGGGGGGGGAAAGCGUUGUUCGGAAUUACUGGGCGUAAAGGGCUCGUAGGCGGCCAACUAAGUCGGAUGUGAAAUCCCCAGGCUUAACCUGGGAACUGCAUCCGAUACUGGAUGGCUUGAAUCCGGGAGAGGGAUGCAGAAUUCCAGGUGUAGCGGUGAAAUGCGUAGAUAUCUGGAGGAAUACCGGUGGCGAAGGCGGCAUCCUGGACCGGCAUUGACGCUGAGGAGCGAAAGCUAGGGGAGCAAAC